This 253-nucleotide ribosomal RNA is filed under the name uncultured bacterium. RNAcentral's name for it is "partial 16S ribosomal RNA". It matches the Rfam family "Bacterial small subunit ribosomal RNA", at positions 524 to 776 of the family's 1533-position model. The record is from RNAcentral.
UACGAAGGGGGCUAGCGUUGCUCGGAAUCACUGGGCGUAAAGCGCGUGUAGGCGGCCCGAUAAGUCCGCUGUGAAAGUCCAGGGCUCAACCCUGGAAUGCCGGUGGAUACUGUCGGGCUAGAGUCCGGAAGAGGCGAGUGGAAUUCCUGGUGUAGCGGUGAAAUGCGCAGAUAUCAGGAGGAACACCAAUGGCGAAGGCAGCUCGCUGGGACGUGACUGACGCUGAGACGCGAAAGCGUGGGGAGCAAACAGG